Molecule: ribosomal RNA, 379 nt
Filed under: uncultured bacterium
Lineage: Bacteria
Description: bacterial SSU rRNA
Rfam family: Bacterial small subunit ribosomal RNA
Source: RNAcentral
GACGAACGCUGGCGGCGUGCUUAACACAUGCAAGUCACGGGGGCCCAGCAAUGGGUAACCGGCGAACGGGUGCGUAACACGUGAGCAACCUGCCGAUCUGAGGGGGAUAGCCGGCCCAACGGCCGGGUAAUACCGCAUACGGUUUCCAUGGGACAUCCUGUGGGAACGAAACCUCCGGGGCAGAUCGAGGGGCUCGCGGCCUAUCAGCUAGUUGGUGGGGUAACGGCCCACCAAGGCGACGACGGGUAGCNGGUCUGAGAGGAUGGCCAGCCACAUUGGGACUGAGAGGCGGCCCAGACUCCUACGGGAGGCAGCAGUGGGGAAUCUUGGACAAUGGGGGCAACCCUGAUCCAGCAAUGCCGCGUGAGUGAAGAAGGCC